AAGGAUCAUUAGUGAAUUUUAGGGUGCUCUUCUCCUUCUUAACAAAGGGAAGAGGCCUGACCUCCACUCUCCAACACUGUGCACUUAUUGGCAUUAGGAAUUUUCCCUUUACGGGGUUGAAUCCUUUUGCGGCUUCAUUUUUAACACUUGUCAAAGAAUGUAAACAAAACCAUAACAAAAAAAAACUUUCAACAACGGAUCUCUUGGCUCUC
This 212-nucleotide unclassified non-coding RNA is filed under the name uncultured fungus. RNAcentral describes it as "partial contains 18S rRNA, ITS1, 5.8S rRNA, ITS2 and 28S rRNA". Lineage: Eukaryota; Fungi. The record is from RNAcentral.